GUGGGGAAUAUUGGACAAUGGGCGAAAGCCUGAUCCAGCCAUGCCGCGUGUGUGAAGAAGGUCUUCGGAUUGUAAAGCACUUUAAGUUGGGAGGAAGGGUAGUAACCUAAUACGUUGCUACUUUGACGUUACCGACAGAAUAAGCACCGGCUAACUUCGUGCCAGCAGCCGCGGUAAUACGAAGGGUGCAAGCGUUAAUCGGAAUUACUGGGCGUAAAGCGCGCGUAGGUGGUUCAGUAAGUUGGAAGUGAAAUCCCCGGGCUCAACCUGGGAACUGCGUUCAAAACUGCUGAGCUAGAGUACGGUAGAGGGUGGUGGAAUUUCCUGUGUAGCGGUGAAAUGCGUAGAUAUAGGAAGGAACACCAGUGGCGAAGGCGACCACCUGGACUGAUACUGACACUGAGGUGCGAAAGCGUGGGGAGCAAACAGGAUUAGAUACCCCUGUAGUCC
RNAcentral lists this ribosomal RNA (450 nucleotides) under uncultured bacterium. RNAcentral describes it as "partial 16S ribosomal RNA". It matches the Rfam family "Bacterial small subunit ribosomal RNA", at positions 354 to 796 of the family's 1533-position model. The record is from RNAcentral.